CCUACGGGAGGCAGCAGUGAGGAAUAUUGGUCAAUGGACGCAAGUCUGAACCAGCCAUGCCGCGUGCAGGAAGACGGCUCUAUGAGUUGUAAACUGCUUUUGUACGAGGGUAAACGCAGAUACGCGUAUCUGUCUGAAAGUAUCGUACGAAUAAGGAUCGGCUAACUCCGUGCCAGCAGCCGCGGUAAUACGGAGGAUUCAAGCGUUAUCCGGAUUUAUUGGGUUUAAAGGGUGCGUAGGCGGUCGGAUAAGUUAGAGGUGAAAUCCCGAGGCUCAACUUCGGAAUUGCAUGUGAUAAGGGUCGGCUAGAGAGGAGUUGAGGUAGGCGGAAUGUAUGGUGUAGCGGGGAAAUGCUUAGAGAUCAUACAGAACACCGGUUGCGAAGGCGGCUUGCUGGGUCGAUACUGACAUUGGGGCACGAAAGCGUGGGGAGCAAACAGGAUUAGAUACCCCAGUAGUC
RNAcentral lists this ribosomal RNA (460 nucleotides) under uncultured bacterium. RNAcentral's name for it is "partial 16S ribosomal RNA". It matches the Rfam family "Bacterial small subunit ribosomal RNA", at positions 338 to 795 of the family's 1533-position model. The record is from RNAcentral.